GGUCCCGCCUGCCCUGUGACAUUAGUUUAACGGCCGCGGUAUACUAACCGUGCAAAGGUAGCGUAGUAACUUGCCUUUUAAAUGAAGGCCCGUAUGAAUGGCUUAACGAGGGCCCAACUGUCUCCUUUCCCCAGUCAGUGAAACUGACCUACCCGUGCAGAGGCGGGUAUCCCCCUAUUAGACGAGAAGACCCUGUGGAGCUUACAGACAAAAGGGCAGCUCUAGUUAAGCAACACAUUUUAAGUGACUAAACCAUAUUUCUCUGUUCGAAUGUCUUUGGUUGGGGCGACCACGGAGUAACACACAACCCCCGAGAGGAAUGGCAACUAUUGCCCCACACUAGAGACCCCUCUCUAAUUGACAGAAUUUCUGACCACCAGAUCCGGCACAGCCGAUCUACGAACCUAGUUACCCCAGGGAUAACAGCGCAAUCCCCCUUAAGAGCCCCUAUCGACAGGGGGGUUUACGACCUCGAUGUUGGAUCAGGGCCUCCUAAUGGUGCAGCAGCUAUUAAGGGUUC
RNAcentral lists this ribosomal RNA (520 nucleotides) under Schindleria sp. 5 TK-2007. RNAcentral's name for it is "partial 16S rRNA". It matches the Rfam family "Bacterial large subunit ribosomal RNA", at positions 1851 to 2574 of the family's 2925-position model. Lineage: Eukaryota; Metazoa; Chordata; Actinopteri; Gobiiformes; Schindleriidae. The record is from RNAcentral.